RNAcentral lists this ribosomal RNA (465 nucleotides) under uncultured bacterium. RNAcentral's name for it is "partial 16S ribosomal RNA". It matches the Rfam family "Bacterial small subunit ribosomal RNA", at positions 28 to 507 of the family's 1533-position model. The record is from RNAcentral.
GACGAACGCUGGCGGCGUGCUUAACACAUGCAAGUCGAACGGAAAGGCCCUGCUUGCAUGGUACUCGAGUGGCGAACGGGUGAGUAACACGUGGGUGCUCUGCCCUGCACUUCGGGAUAAGCCUGGGCAACUGGGUCUAAUACCUGAUAGGAGACAUUUUUAGUGUGAUGGUUGGAAAGUUUUUUCGGUGUAGGAUGAGCUCGCGGCCUAUCAGCUUGUUGGUGGGGUAAUGGCCUACCAAGGCGGCGACGGGUAGCCGGCCUGGGAGGGUGGACGGCCACAUUGGGACUGAGAGACGGCCCAGACUCCUACGGGAGGCAGCAGUGGGGAAUAUUGCACAAUGGGCGCAAGCCUGAGGCAGCGGCGCCGCGUGGGGGAUGACCGCUUUCGGGUUGUAAACGCCGUUCGCUAGGGACGAAGCUUUUUGUGACGGUACCUAGAGAAGAAGCACCGGCUAACUACGUG